UGCUUGAAAGUACCUCUCUCAGGAAAGUGGUUCGAAUUAUGUAAUAAAAGUCAGAAAUUGUCUAAGGAGCUGAAUCACAGAGGUCAGGGAGCUGAAGAAUGUGGACAUGAUGGCAGAGAACACUGAUGUUAAUGUGACAGAAAACAACAGAAAGAGCAAAGACUAUCCUCCAGAGUGUGAGUCAUACAUUACCUGUAUUUAUGACAGGAUGCUCUGAAAUAUUCUUUUUCAACAGCACUGUGGUCUUUUCUUCUCUGCAAAUAAUCCUGUUUCAUAUGUAAGUCAUGAUUCACACUGUAAGUUUAGCCCAUAGUGAAAUAUUCUUGCAUAGUCCUGUGUCUUUUCUUUUCUUUUCUAGUCAGUCCCGAAAACACAUCAGUGCCAGUAACAGAAGCCAGUAUCUCAGAUGACUCAAGGUUGAAAUGUUGGUGUUCUGGUGAGUGAAUGUGUAUCUCAAGUCCUUCAUCCUUCAGUUAUAGAAUUGAUGUGCUGAAAAGGCACAAUUUGCAUUUAGUAAUAUUUUUGUAAUCAACAAUUUCCACACAGAGAUUUUCGGUCCAAACCAAAGACCGACGACGAUAUGGAGGGCAAGAUGGAGUGAGAGAACAUAUGAUGAAAUGUUACCUGAAAGAAAGACCUCCAGCAGCACCAUCAGUUCGUGUGACUCAGGAUAUGCUUCAAGAAAAUGCAAAGAGAUUUUCACUCCCAAACAAAGACGGACGAUAUGCAGUGCAGGAUGGGAUGAGAGAACAUGAUGACAUGUGUGAGUAUUCAACUGAUAAUGAAACACAUCACUUAAACUGAGUACAAAGUGACGCUUA
This 821-nucleotide long non-coding RNA is filed under the name Sinocyclocheilus anshuiensis. RNAcentral's name for it is "lncRNA (ENSSANG00000031555.1)". The record is from RNAcentral. Lineage: Eukaryota; Metazoa; Chordata; Actinopteri; Cypriniformes; Cyprinidae.